CCGCGGCCGGAGCGCCGAGUCGGGGUCUUACUCGUCUGUGUCCUCCGCUCCUGGGGGCACAGCCUCGCGGCCCCGUGACCUGCAGGCCUUGGGAGAUCCGCAGCUGAGACGCCGGGACCCCCUGGACGCCUAGACAUGGGGCCGUUGACAUUUAGGGAUGUGGCCAUCGAAUUCUCUCUGGAGGAGUGGCAGUGCCUGGACACUGCUCAGCAGGAUUUGUAUAGAAAAGUGAUGUUAGAGAACUACAGAAACCUGGUCUUCUUGGGUAUUGCUGUCUCUAAGCCAGACCUAAUCACCUGUCUGGAGCAAGGAAAAGAGCCCUGGAAUAUGAAGCGACAUGAGAUGGUGGAUGAACCCCCAGCUAUGUGUUCCUAUUUUGUGAAAGACCUUUGGCCAGAGCAAGACAUAAAAGAUUCUUUUCAAGAAGUAAUACUGAGAAGAUAUGGAAAAUGUGGACAUGAGAAUUUACAGUUAAAAAAAGGCUCAGCAAGUGUAGAUAAGUGUAAGGUGCACAAAGAAGGUUAUAAUGAACUAAACCAGUGUUUGACAACUACCCAGAGUGAAAUAGUUCGAUGUGAUAAAUAUAUGAAAGUCUUUCUUAAAUGUUUGAAUUCAAAUGGACAUAAGACAAGACGUACUGGAAAGAAAACUUUCAAAUGUAAAAAAUGUGACAAAUCAUUUUGCAUGCAUUUAUACCUAUGUCAAAAUAAAAGAAUUCAUAUUAGAGAGAAUUCUUACCAAUGUGAAGAAUGUGGCAAAGUCUUUAAGCGGGCCUCACACCUUUCUAGACACACGAGAAUCCAUGCUGGAGAGAAACCUUUCAAAUGUGAAGAAUGUGGCAAAGUCUUUAUGCGGCUCUCAGCCCUUUCUACACACAAGAGAAUCCAUACUGGAGAGAAACCUUUCAAAUGCGAAGAAUGUGGCAAAGCUUUUAAACACUCCUCAACCCUUACUACACAUAAGAUGAUUCAUACUGGAGAGAAACCCUACAGAUGUGAAGAAUGUGGCAAAGCCUUCAACACAUCCUCACACCUUACUGCACAUAAGAUAAUUCAUACUGGAGAGAAACCCUACAAAUGUGAAGAAUGUGGAAAAGCUUUUAACCAUUCUUCAUCUCUUACUACACAUAAGUUCAUUCAUGCCGGAGAAAAACCCUUCAAAUGUGAAGAAUGUGACAAAACUUUUUGUCGAUUCUCAUUCCUUACUAAACAUAAGAUAAUUCAUACUGGAGAGAAAUUUUACAAAUGUGAAGAAUGUGGCAAAGGCUUUUACUGGUUUUCAACCCUUACUAAACAUAAGAAGAUUCAUACUGGAGAGAAACCCUACAAAUGUGAAGAAUGUGGCAAAACCUUUAAUGUGUCUUCAAACCUUGCUACACAUAAGAUGAUUCAUACUGGAAAGAAACCCUACAAAUGUGAAGAAUGUGGCAAAGGCUUUUACUGGUUUUCAACCCUUACUAAACAUAAGAUAAUUCAUACUGGAGAGAAACCUUACAAAUGUGAAGAAUGUGGCAAAGCUUUUAACCAAUCCUCAAACCUUACUACACAUAAGAUAAUUCAUACUGGAGAGAAGUCUUACAAAUGUGAAGAAUGUGGCAAAGCUUUUACCCAUUCCUCACACCUUACUUCACAUAGGAGAAUUCACACUGGAGAGAAACCCUACAAAUGUGAAGAAUGUGGCAAAGCUUUUAACCAAUCCUCAAAUCUUAGUAAACAUAAGAUAAUUCAUAUUGGAUAGAAGUCUUACAAAUCUAAAGAAUGUGAUAAAGCCUUUAACCAAACCUCAACUCUUACUAAAUAUAGGAAGAAUUAUCCUUGAAAUUUUAUCCUUGAAAAAUUAUUCCUACAACUGUGAAGAAUGUGGAAAUUCUCUCAACCACAUGUCCUCAACUCUUAAAAAGCGUUUAAAAAAUACUGUAUAGAAAUCCUAUGAGUGUGAAAAACAUGGCAAAGCCUUUAACAACAUAUGGAGUUUCACUCUUAGAUGUAAGAUGAGACGUACUGGAAAAAAUCAUUUCAGAUGUAAAAAAUGUGACAAAUCAUUUUGUAUGCUUUCACAACUAACACAACAUGAGAUAAGUCAUGCUGGAGAGAAACCCUACGCUUGUGAAGAAUGUGGCAAAGCUUUUAAAAAGUCCUCAACCCUUACUAAUCAUAAGAUAAUUCAUACUGGAGAGAAGCCCUACAAAUGUGAUGAAUGUGGAAAAGCUUUCAACCAGUCCUCAACUCUCACUAGACAUAAGAUAAUUCAUACUGGAGAGAAACUCUACAAAUGUGAAGAAUGUGGCAAAGCUUUUAAUCGGUCCUCAAACCUUUCUAAACAUAAGAUAAUUCAUACUGGAGAGAAACCCUACAAAUGUAAAGAAUGUGGCAAAGCUUUUAAACAGUCCUCAAACCUUACUAAUCAUAAGAAAAUUCAUACUGGAGAGAAACCCUACAAAUGUGAAGAAUGUGGCAAAGCCUUUACCCUAUCUUCACACCUUACUACACAUAAGAGAAUUCACACUGGAGAGAAACCCUACAAAUGUGAAGAAUGUGGCAAAGCCUUUAGUGUAUUCUCAACCCUUAGUAAACAUAAGAUAAUUCAUACUGAAGAGAAACCCUACAAAUGUGAAGAAUGUGGCAGAGCUUUUAACCGGGCCUCACACCUUACUAAUCAUAAGGUAAUUCAUACUGGAGAGAAACCCUACAAAUGUGAAGAAUGUGGUAAAGCCUUUACCAAGUCCUCAACUCUUACUUACCAUAAGGUAAUUCAUACUGGAAAGAAACCCUACAAAUGUGAAGAAUGUGGUAAAGCCUUUAGUAUAUUCUCAAUCCUUACUAAACAUAAGGUAAUUCAUACUGAAGAGAAACCCUACAAAUGUGAAGAAUGUGGCAAAACUUUUAACUACUCCUCAAAUUUUACUAAUCAUAAAAAAAUUCAUACUGGAGAGAAACCCUAUAAAUGUGAAGAAUGUGGGAAAGACUUUAUUCUGUCCUCACACCUUACUACACAUAAGAUGAUUCAUACUGGGGAGAGACCCUACAAAUGUAAACAAUGUGGCAAAGCCUUUAACCAGUCCUCAACUCUUAUGAAACAUAAGAUAAUUCAUACUGGCGAGAAACCCUACAAAUGUGAACAAUGUGGCAAAGCCUUUAACCAGUCCCCAAACCUUAAUAAACAUAAGAGAAUUCAUACCAAAGAGAACCCCUACAAAUGUAAAUAAUGUGUCAAAGCAUUUAAUAUAUUUUCCACUUUUAUUAAAACACAAGAUAAUUCGUACUAGAGACAACCCCUAUAAAUGUGAUAAAUGUGGCAAAGCCCUUAACCAGCUCUUAAUCCUUACUGAACAUAACAUAAUUCAUACUAGAGAGAAACCAGCAAAUGUAAAGAAUGUGGAAGCAUUUAACUAAUCCUCAAACCUUACUAAACGUAAGAAAAUUCAUACUGGAAAGAAGCUACAAACCUGGAAGACAUCAGUAAUUUUGACAACACCUCAAACUUUUCUAAACAUGAAAGAUCGUACUGGCGAGAAACUUUAAAAAUGUAAAAAAUUUGACAAAAACCUUUAAAUGAUUGUCACACUUGAUUGUAGGUGAUUCUUACUAGACAAACUCUUACAAGUGUGAAGAAUGGCAAUUAUUAUU
Non-coding RNA from Saimiri boliviensis boliviensis (Bolivian squirrel monkey), 3626 nucleotides. NCBI's taxonomy places the organism in Eukaryota, Metazoa, Chordata, Mammalia, Primates, Cebidae. The record is from RefSeq and is a predicted model, not a curated record.